Drosophila miranda is the source of this 3707-nucleotide long non-coding RNA. RefSeq lists it as uncharacterized. The record is from RefSeq and is a predicted model, not a curated record. NCBI's taxonomy places the organism in Eukaryota, Metazoa, Arthropoda, Insecta, Diptera, Drosophilidae. The transcript is spliced from 2 exons.
CGUUGUAGCACAGACUCAGAGACGGCGAAGAAAAGCGAAAAGCGUGACAGCUCAGUGGUUCCUGUCCAGGCUGAACUCAAAAUAGAAAUUCGAAAAGGAAAUCGGUUUAAUUAAAUCGAAUUUAAUUGAAAAUACCUCGUAGUAAAAUCGAGUUAUUGUCCGACGCGCUUUCCCAUUCCAUUUCGGUCCGGCGGAGAAGGCUUAAUUGAUAAUUGCCAUUGAGGAGAGCCCAGUGCGAACAUAAACACGCCGAAGAAGGAAAAAAAUUCGUUCGAGUGAAAUAGAAAUUGAAAUUGAUUUGACAAAACUUCAUUUGUUGCGCCAUUCUCAUUCCCCCUGGAGUGCCCGACAAUGUGCAACCUCAAGACUCUUAACCUUAACAAUUACCAUUUGGCCACAAAAGCUAUUGGCACAAUUCAGUUCGAUCCAAGUGCCUGCCCCCAUACUCACUUUUACUCCGACAAAAAUCAAAAAUCAAACAAAUAAAAAAAAAAAUCUAUUCGAAAACGAAAGCAAAACAAAAGUUUGAUUGAAGCGCCAACCGUCCCCCUACCCAAACACCUUGCUAAACUCGAGCGGCAGCCCCCACAACCGGUCCCCAGAAGACUACAAAAUAGUUGAGAAAACAGGUAAGUGUGUGCCCGUGGAGGUGGAUGUGGAUGGUGGAGAGUGCAGAUUGGAGGCUGGACAGACCAUGUGCGAAGGUUAUUCGAAUUUUUGGCUCAGGCGAAGGCGGAGAGUGUGCAAAAUCGCUUUGUUUUUGGAGCAAAUCUCAAUGAAAAUAUUUGAAAAAUAUUGAAAAUGGUGAAAGCUCUCUUGGGCCGAAAAACACCCACGGUUCUAUCACACAAGUGAGAUGUAUGUCCGCCUAUGGGCGAUGCUCGAGGGACUAUAAUCAUUUUAUUGGCAUUUGCACAUUUUAAAUCAAUUUUGAUCAUGAAAUCAAACAAGUUUCAAGCAAAUCAUUGCAAAAUUUCCAUUAUUAAUUAGCAACACAUUUUAGAACAGAUUAGAAGAGUGUGACAUGAAUUUAGAACCACUUUUAGCUAAUUUGUGGUAACAUUUAGCACAAUUUAAAUCUGAAUUGAGAUAUGGGACAGUUUGAAUUAAAUUUGUUUGAAUUUUUCUAAUAUAAUUAGAGCUUGAUCAAUAAGUUGUAUAACUGAGCAACAAAUUUAAUUGAAAACCAUAUCAAAUUGGUUUCAUUCAAAGCUGUAACCUCCUUUUACUGCCGUUUUAGUUUUCACUUUCUAAACAUACUCUCUUAAUCGCCUCCGCUAUUAAUCAUCUUUAAUAAGAAACUUCAAAGACCCUUUGAUAAAUCAUCUUUUUGGUGGUCCAUUCAAUCGAAGUGAGGCGGCGGCCUGGGCUGCUGUCUCCGCCCAUUAUCGAUACCGAUUACGACAUGAUUGCCAGACGAUAAUUUUCACAACGAAGCAUGACAAAGACAGCAAAUUAGCCCCGAAGCUAUUUGUAUGCCCUUUGCAGAGGGUAUAAUGAUUCGGACUACAAGGAAGACUCCAAGGAAUACUGAGAAGUAUCAGAGAGAAUGGUAUUUGUAAGCAGCGGGCUACUGGAAGAGUAUUCAAAAUCCUUCCUUUACCUAGUGCUUUGUACAGCUUUAGUUUUUGUGAUGCUUGGAUGUGGCUUCCGUGGCAAGUCUGUAACUGAAAGUUCGCAUGACAGCAAAAGCCCCAAAAGAAAGAAAGAGGUGGCCGGCGGGAGAAAGAGCGGACAUUGAUAGGUAAACAACAGCAGACGCUUCGUUUCAGUAAUUUAAACAAUGACGAUCAUGAUCGUGAUGAUGACUUCCUCAACGAAAGAAAUAAAACUACUUGCGAGAGUGAAUGAAAUAGGAAUAAAAUGUACGAUGGAAUUAAUCAGUUUGGGGCCCGAAUCUUCAGAUACUCUACCUAAAAUGCCUUUGGGACAUCAGCUAAGGCGUUUUAAACUUCAGGUCAAAGUGGUUAUAGCCCCUGAGAGGGUACGCGAAAGUCAAAGAAACCAAUUAAGAGCCCCAAAAGGGUAACUAAUGUGUUUUUCUCUUACGGAUCCACCCUAUUUGUGCAGCCCCAACAAGCAAUUAAUAAAGAUCUUAAUUGCAUUUGUUGUGUGCGUAUUUUAAGCGUUUCGAUCUCUGGCGUCAUGUCCGACGCCCGACAAGCGAUACCAAACACCGCUCGAAUUGAUAAAAAUUGAAAAUAUUUGCCCAGAGCUGAAAAUCGAAUUCGUUUUCAGAGCAAGCACCACCAUAAUUGAAAUUCUUGGUUCCAGCUAAUUAACGUCACACUGCAUUGUAGGUGUUUGGACAAUUGUUUAAACACAAAGUUCAAUAUUUGGUUUAAAUAUCAAAUAUUGUCAGUGCCUGCUGGAUAAGUGCGAUACGGUAACAGUUUAAGGGCGAAAGGAAUGGUAGGGGCCGUCUUGGGGUAUGGUAUGUGCGUGAGAAUUGUGACGCUCAAUGGCGCUGGGAGUUCUAUCGCAAAAACGUGUUAAUAAUUUCUUCCCCUCGGAGCUUAAUGUCUUUCCCGCCUCGUAAUUCAAUGCGUUGUCAUCUUUGGCCAACAUCGCUGGAAAUUAUACAUGUUCAGGCUGACAGACGAUGGAGAGAUUCCGCUCCACCUGAUGCUAGUUUCUGCUGUGUUUUUAUGGAGAGUCGGAUUCGUAGAUAUUAAAUUGCAGUAAUAAUCGUGAGCCAAGUUGACAUGACAUCACGGUGAAAUUGUUUUUGCGUUGAGUUGAUGGCAUUCGAAACAGUAGCACAAAAAAAUACUGGGGACUCAGGAAACGUGUGUGUCCAUAUGCCAUAGAAAAACUGUAGACAUGUGGCACAGUUGAUGCAGCGCAGUUCUCAAUGGAAGAUCAACUUGUCUGUUAAUCGGAUAGAUUAUAAUUAAGCUAAUAAGCUGCCACUGGGGGGCACCAGCGCCAGCUCCAGCUCCACCGAAGAUAUUCGUUCGUUUUUUCUCAUGGAAAGUUUUUGCAGUUGCGUCGUAGUUUAGAAUUUAGAAGCUGAAAUUGACAGAUCAGGGCAUUUGUUGUGCAUAUUAAUGAUAGUCUCUAGCGGAAAUAUUUUUGAAAUGGAGAUGAGCUUAGGAAGCAGUAUGCUUCCCAAGGGAUAAUGACAAGCACAAUAUUCUCUCAGGCAGUUCCUAGAAAAACCUUUUGUUUUGGGUAAGCAGGGAAUCCGUUGCCAUUAGUUCUUUAGCGGUUCCCUAAGCAUGUCUCGCCUCAUCUUAAAAGGAAAGUCCCUCAAAUAACAGAUUUCCCUUAUGGUUCUACACAAAUUAUACAAAUUAAAUGGCUAAGUCAAAAACCACAGACAUCAAUAAAUUUUCCACUGAUUUAUGGGAAUUGUUCGCGAGCCAAUCGGUCAAACGGCCAUAAAGAUAUUUGCCCAAGUACUGGACCCACUCCUCCCUCGCAACAAGCAAAAACUGAAUAGUCCCUGCCCCAGACCCAGACCCAUAUCCAUAGCUCCGACCCGGUAAGCGUCGGCAUGUGACUAAUUAAUUUAUUGCAAUUAAUUAAUGGUCAGCGAACAGGUUUCGAUCUUUCUCUCUACUAGCCCAUUGGAACGCAAAGUAUUGUUAAUAAAAUCAUCACCUUAGUCGACAAAAGUGGCGCCCAAGGGUUGCGCAAACCCAAAUGAAUAAUCCGAUUAAAUUGAUUAAUUAUUAUAGACGAUACGAUACGAUAUACGGAAU